RNAcentral lists this small RNA (68 nucleotides) under Arabidopsis thaliana (thale cress). Its description in RNAcentral is "ATSL009490". Lineage: Eukaryota; Viridiplantae; Streptophyta; Magnoliopsida; Brassicales; Brassicaceae. The record is from RNAcentral.
AAUGAUAGUUGGUACUUGGUAACAACAAGUUUGGGUUUGGUAAAAAAACCAAAAAAAAAAGUUUGGGA